AAAUAUUUUUGUGCUUUUUAUUUCUCUACAGAUCUUGAGAUGGCCAUUGCCUACUGGAAUCUUAUUUUUACUGGUCGCUUCAAAUUGUUGGACUUGUGGUGUGAAUUUUUAAGAUCUCAUUAUAAAAGAGCUGGCAAUACCCAAAGACACUUGGAACCUUCUGCUAGAGUUUUCUAACAGGAUUGAUGACACCAUGAGCAAUUAUGAUGAAGAUGAAAUGUUCAGCUAAUGGUACAGGAUGUGGUGUAUGUCAUUCAAGGGAUCUGUUGUUCAGGUUUAGUGAAGAUGUGGUUACAUGUCCUAACUGCUCCUCACACUUUCACUGGUAAAUACAUGUACAUGUACAUAAUGGACAUUUGAUGUGUCUAAACUUUGUGCUUCAUAAAUCAGUUUUUAAAUAGCUACCUAAUGCAAUUAAAAUUAUCCAAACUAGCAUGCUUCUGGUAAUUUGAAGUUGUG
RNAcentral lists this long non-coding RNA (459 nucleotides) under Amphimedon queenslandica. RNAcentral describes it as "uncharacterized LOC109590560". The record is from RNAcentral. Lineage: Eukaryota; Metazoa; Porifera; Demospongiae; Haplosclerida; Niphatidae.